Molecule: ribosomal RNA, 462 nt
Filed under: uncultured bacterium
Lineage: Bacteria
Description: partial 16S ribosomal RNA
Rfam family: Bacterial small subunit ribosomal RNA
Source: RNAcentral
GACGAACGCUGGCGGCGUGCUUAACACAUGCAAGUCGAGCGACGCUCUUCCUUCGGGGAGAUGACGGAGCGGCGAACGGGUGAGUAACACGUGGGCAACCUGCCCCUAGCUCUGGGACAACACCGGGAAACCGGUGCUAAUACCGGAUACGACAUCGAGCGGCAUCUCUCGAUGUGGAAAGUUUUUUCGGCUAGGGAUGGGCCCGCGGCCUAUCAGCUUGUUGGUGGGUUAAUGGCCCACCAAGGCGACGACGGGUAGCCGGCCUGAGAGGGCGACCGGCCACACUGGGACUGAGACACGGCCCAGACUCCUACGGGAGGCAGCAGUGGGGAAUAUUGCGCAAUGGGCGAAAGCCUGACGCAGCGACGCCGCGUGAGGGAUGACGGCCUUCGGGUUGUAAACCUCUUUCAGCAGGGACGAAUUCAGACGGUACCUGCAGAAGAAGCACCGGCCAACUACGUG